This 1046-nucleotide ribosomal RNA is filed under the name uncultured Propionibacterium sp. RNAcentral describes it as "bacterial SSU rRNA". It matches the Rfam family "Bacterial small subunit ribosomal RNA", at positions 10 to 1064 of the family's 1533-position model. Lineage: Bacteria; Bacillati; Actinomycetota; Actinomycetes; Propionibacteriales; Propionibacteriaceae. The record is from RNAcentral.
AGUUUGAUCCUGGCUCAGGACGAACGCUGGCGGCGUGCUUAACACAUGCAAGUCGAACGGAAAGGCCCUGCUUUUGUGGGGUGCUCGAGUGGCGAACGGGUGAGUAGCACGUGAGUAACCUGCCCUUGACUUUGGGAUAACUUCAGGAAACUGGGGCUAAUACCGGAUAGGAGCUCCUGCUGCAUGGUGGGGGUUGGAAAGUUUCGGCGGUUGGGGAUGGACUCGCGGCUUAUCAGCUUGUUGGUGGGGUAGUGGCUUACCAAGGCUUUGACGGGUAGCCGGCCUGAGAGGGUGACCGGCCACAUUGGGACUGAGAUACGGCCCAGACUCCUACGGGAGGCAGCAGUGGGGAAUAUUGCACAAUGGGCGGAAGCCUGAUGCAGCAACGCCGCGUGCGGGAUGACGGCCUUCGGGUUGUAAACCGCUUUCGCCUGUGACGAAGCGUGAGUGACGGUAAUGGGUAAAGAAGCACCGGCUAACUACGUGCCAGCAGCCGCGGUGAUACGUAGGGUGCGAGCGUUGUCCGGAUUUAUUGGGCGUAAAGGGCUCGUAGGUGGUUGAUCGCGUCGGAAGUGUAAUCUUGGGGCUUAACCCUGAGCGUGCUUUCGAUACGGGUUGACUUGAGGAAGGUAGGGGAGAAUGGAAUUCCUGGUGGAGCGGUGGAAUGCGCAGAUAUCAGGAGGAACACCAGUGGCGAAGGCGGUUCUCUGGGCCUUUCCUGACGCUGAGGAGCGAAAGCGUGGGGAGCGAACAGGCUUAGAUACCCUGGUAGUCCACGCUGUAAACGGUGGGUACUAGGUGUGGGGUCCAUUCCACGGGUUCCGUGCCGUAGCUAACGCUUUAAGUACCCCGCCUGGGGAGUACGGCCGCAAGGCUAAAACUCAAAGGAAUUGACGGGGCCCCGCACAAGCGGCGGAGCAUGCGGAUUAAUUCGAUGCAACGCGUAGAACCUUACCUGGGUUUGACAUGGAUCGGGAGUGCUCAGAGAUGGGUGUGCCUCUUUUGGGGUCGGUUCACAGGUGGUGCAUGGCUGUCGUCAGCUCGUG